This 28-nucleotide non-coding RNA is filed under the name Rattus norvegicus (Norway rat). The record is from RNAcentral. Lineage: Eukaryota; Metazoa; Chordata; Mammalia; Rodentia; Muridae.
UACAACGAACAACCACCUCUCAGGGCGG